AACCAAUUUAACUUCUCUGAACCUUCCAAAAGGUAAUUUUUCCUGUCCCCAUUUCUUCCCAGGUCUCUCUCCUUGACUCAUCUCUGUUCCUUUGCUUACCGGCUAAAGAAUCUGUGGGGUCCACAGCUCCUUGAGCAGAUUUCUCGGGGACUGAAUCUAUUUACAGACUGAAAUUCGAUAGACUCACCCCAAUCCAAGUCAUGCUUGCAGACACCAACCUAAGUCAUGCUCGCAGAUGCCACGUGGCUGAUCCCUGGUGGGAUAUCAGGAAUCUGACAUGGAGAUAGGGCAGGGGGUCAGAAGAAAACAGAGACAUCUACCUGGCACCCGAUGGGGACAGGGCUGGCCCCCUGACCUUUCUCUCUGUCCUUUGUCCCUAC
Molecule: long non-coding RNA, 380 nt
Filed under: Bos taurus (domestic cattle)
Lineage: Eukaryota; Metazoa; Chordata; Mammalia; Artiodactyla; Bovidae
Description: long non-coding RNA NONBTAT007512
Source: RNAcentral